AAUAGAUACCCGGGUAGUCCACGCCGUAAACGAUGAGUGCUAAGUGUUAGAGGGUUUCCGCCCUUUAGUGCUGCAGCAAACGCAUUAAGCACUCCGCCUGGGGAGUACGGCCGCAAGGCUGAAACUCAAAGGAAUUGACGGGGGACCCGCACAAGCGGUGGAGCAUGUGGUUUAAUUCGAAGCAACGCGAAGAACCUUACCAGGUCUUGACAUCCUCUGACCAUCCUAGAGAUAGGACCUUCCCCUUCGGGGGACAGAGUGACAGGUGGUGCAUGGUUGUCGUCAGCUCGUGUCGUGAGAUGUUGGGUUAAGUCCCGCAACGAGCGCAACCCUUGUACUUAGUUGCCAUCAUUUAGUUGGGCACUCUAAGGUGACUGCCGGUGACAAACCGGAGGAAGGUGGGGAUGACGUCGAAAUCAUCAUGCCCCUUAUGACCUGGGCUACACACGUGCUACAAUGGAUGGUACAAAGGGCUGCAAGACCGCGAGGUUAAGCGAAUCCCAUAAAACCAUUCUCAGUUCGGAUUGCAGGCUGCAACG
This 539-nucleotide ribosomal RNA is filed under the name uncultured bacterium. Its description in RNAcentral is "bacterial SSU rRNA". It matches the Rfam family "Bacterial small subunit ribosomal RNA", at positions 777 to 1312 of the family's 1533-position model. The record is from RNAcentral.